GCUGGGUGUGGUGGCGUACACCUGUAGUCCCAGCUACUUGGGAGGCUGAGGUGGGAGGAUCACUUGAGCCCGGGAGGUCAAGGCUGCAGUGAGCCAUGAUUGCCCACUGCACUCCAGCUUGGGUGAUAGAGCAAGACCCUGUUUUUU
This 147-nucleotide non-coding RNA is filed under the name Nomascus leucogenys (northern white-cheeked gibbon). The record is from Rfam by way of RNAcentral. Lineage: Eukaryota; Metazoa; Chordata; Mammalia; Primates; Hylobatidae.